This 468-nucleotide ribosomal RNA is filed under the name uncultured bacterium. RNAcentral describes it as "partial 16S ribosomal RNA". It matches the Rfam family "Bacterial small subunit ribosomal RNA", at positions 28 to 507 of the family's 1533-position model. The record is from RNAcentral.
GACGAACGCUGGUGGCGUGCUUAACACAUGCAAGUCGAACGGAAAGGCCCUGCUUUUGUGGGGUGCUCGAGUGGCGAACGGGUGAGUAACACGUGAGUAACCUGCCCUUGACUUUGGGAUAACUUCAGGAAACUGGGGCUAAUACCGGAUAGGAGCUCCUGCUGCAUGGUGGGGGUUGGAAAGUUUCGGCGGUUGGGGAUGGACUCGCGGCUUAUCAGCUUGUUGGUGGGGUAGUGGCUUACCAAGGCUUUGACGGGUAGCCGGCCUGAGAGGGUGACCGGCCACAUUGGGACUGAGAUACGGCCCAGACUCCUACGGGAGGCAGCAGUGGGGAAUAUUGCACAAUGGGCGGAAGCCUGAUGCAGCAACGCCGCGUGCGGGAUGACGGCCUUCGGGCUGUAAACCGCUUUCGCCUGUGACGAAGCGUGAGUGACGGUAAUGGGUAAAGAAGCACCGGCUAACUACGUG